RNAcentral lists this ribosomal RNA (253 nucleotides) under uncultured bacterium. RNAcentral's name for it is "partial 16S ribosomal RNA". It matches the Rfam family "Bacterial small subunit ribosomal RNA", at positions 524 to 776 of the family's 1533-position model. The record is from RNAcentral.
GACGAAGGUGGCGACCGUUGUUCGGAAUCACUGGGCAUAAAGCGCGCGUAGGCGGCUUUGCAAGUCGGGUGUGAAAUCCCCAGGCUUAACCUGGGAACUGCAUUCGAGACUGCAUUGCUAGAGUAUGGGAGAGGGAAGUGGAAUUUCCGGUGUAGCGGUGAAAUGCGUAGAUAUCAGGAGGAACACCGGUGGCGAAGGCGGCUCUCUGGACCACAACUGACGCUGAGGCGCGAAAGCUAGGGGAGCAAACAGG